GACGAACGCUGGCGGCGUGCCUAAUACAUGCAAGUAGAACGCACAGUUUAUACCGUAGCUUGCUACACCAUACACUGUGAGUUGCGAACGGGUGAGUAACGCGUAGGUAACCUGCCUGGUAGCGGGGGAUAACUAUUGGAAACGAUAGCUAAUACCGCAUAAUAUUGAUUAUUGCAUGAUAAUUGAUUGAAAGAUGCUAUUGCAUCACUACCAGAUGGACCUGCGUUGUAUUAGCUAGUAGGUGAGGUAACGGCUCACCUAGGCGACGAUACAUAGCCGACCUGAGAGGGUGAUCGGCCAAACUGGGAAUGAGACACGGCCCAGACUCCUACGGGAGGCAGCAGUAGGGAAUCUUCGGCAAUAGACGAAAGGCUGACCGGGCAACGCCGCGUGAGUGAAGAAAGGUUUCGGAUCGUAAAGCUCGGUUGUAAGAGAAGAACGGGUGUGAGAGUGGAAAGUUCACACUGUGACGGUAUCUUACCAGAAAGGGACGGCUAACUACGUG
RNAcentral lists this ribosomal RNA (505 nucleotides) under uncultured bacterium. RNAcentral's name for it is "partial 16S ribosomal RNA". It matches the Rfam family "Bacterial small subunit ribosomal RNA", at positions 28 to 507 of the family's 1533-position model. The record is from RNAcentral.